GAGAGAGAGACAUGCGCGCAUAUCAAUAAGCGGAGGAAAAGAAACUAACUAGGAUUCCCCUAGUAACGGCGAGUGAAGCGGGAAGAGCUCAAAUUUGAGAUCUUAAAGGUUUCCCUUUGACGAAUUGUAGUUUAAAGAAGUGUUUUCUGUUGGAGUUUUCGGUAAAAGUUCUUUGGAAUAGGACAUCAUAGAGGGUGAGAAUCCCGUAUUUGACCAUUACUUUCCAACUUUGUGAUACACUUUCAAAGAGUCGGAUUGUUUGGGAAUGCAGUCCAAAAUGGGUGGUAAAUUUCAUCUAAAGCUAAAUAUUGGCGAGAGACCGAUAGCGAACAAGUACCGUGAGGGAAAGAUGAAAAGAACUUUGAAAAGAGAGUUAAAUAGUACGUGAAAUUGUCAAAAGGGAAGCGUUUGACACUAGUGUUGUUUUUCCGAAAAUCAAUUACGAAUGUUUUAUUUUUGAGGAGUUAUGACUUCAUCGGCUUGCUCCUUUCUUUAUGAAACUUUCUUAAUGCACUUUUCGGUUAACAAGUCAACAUCAAUUUCUUUUGUUGUAAAAGGGUAUGAGGAAGGUGGCUUUCUUUUCGGAGAAAGUGUUUAUAGCCUUGUGCCUCUGCAAUCGGAGAGAUUGAGGUCUGCAGCGUAGAUCCUUCGGGGUUAGAUACGUUUGUGCUAAGUUAUAGCUUUUCAUAGACAACUUGUUGACUAUGUUUAGUCUUGUAGCUUACUCGCUUAUGGCUAUUUUACCUACGCUUAGGAUGUUGAUAGUCACAGCGUGUAC
Molecule: ribosomal RNA, 778 nt
Filed under: uncultured Neocallimastigales
Lineage: Eukaryota; Fungi; Neocallimastigomycota; Neocallimastigomycetes; Neocallimastigales
Description: partial large subunit ribosomal RNA
Rfam family: Eukaryotic large subunit ribosomal RNA
Source: RNAcentral